Molecule: non-coding RNA, 230 nt
Organism: Pelobates cultripes (western spadefoot toad)
Lineage: Eukaryota; Metazoa; Chordata; Amphibia; Anura; Pelobatidae
Source: the annotation of a GenBank genome assembly
GCCAGAAUGAUCAAUUUAAUGUGGGCCUCUCAGGCCUUUUUUCAGUUCCCCUCCAUUGUUGAGCUCUCCAACAUCUGAAAACCCAUCACCUGUGCCAAGGACUUUCAUGCAUACAUAUAUUUUAUUUAAUCUUAAGCAUUCCACAGUCAAAUCUUGAAUUUUUGGAAGGAGAUUGGGACCCUGAAAAAGAACAGGGUCUGGCAUAUUGAACAGCUCAUUUAUAUCAUUCG